AGGAAAUUCAUUAGAAAGCGUAUCAUAAAAUAUAUUAGGAAGUGUAUCCUAAAAUAUCUCCAACACAUCACAACUAAAUUAUUUUAACAAUGAAUGGAUUAUCUAUAAAAAUAAAUCAUCAAAGCCGAACAUAUUCAAGAGCGUGUCCGAAAGGAGGACACGCGAGUCCGCGAUAUGUCUCCAACGUUCCAAUGAAACUGAAAAUAAUAAAACAUGGCAUGUCCAACACGUGUCGGCGUGUGUACAAGUCGUCUCGAUGUCUAAUACAUACAAAAACUAAUUUGACGUGUAUAUGCUUCAUAGCUAGUGGGCGCCAAUUGUUCAACCACAAAACUGUAGAGUUGCCAUUCCCUAUCAAAUAUUGGAUCCAAGGCUGACCCAAGGGUCUCAGUUUGAAGAUAUUCUUGUAUUGUACCCAAGGACCAGUCACCAGUCACAGUCACCAGUCACAUCUGACCAUAUUAACCACACACACGAGACACAUAUAUACGUGGUUCAGCCAAUCUGCCUACGUCCACGGAGAGGAAACAAUAAUUCACUAACACCGAAUGAAUUACAUACAAAAUGAGGAGAUCACACUCCUCUCAUAUCUCACCAUCUCACUGUCUGUUCUCUCCUCUCACAGUACCACAACUCCCACCAUUAGCAGAUCUCUCUCUGCUAUCAGUACACUCCCCCAGCCCCUUUGCACACAGCAACAUGCUAUGUGCUCCCAGUAAUCUCCCAAGGAUUACAUUUUUGUGCACCCACUUCUCUC
Molecule: long non-coding RNA, 757 nt
Filed under: Actinidia chinensis (golden kiwifruit)
Lineage: Eukaryota; Viridiplantae; Streptophyta; Magnoliopsida; Ericales; Actinidiaceae
Description: long non-coding RNA (ACHI_LNC006732)
Source: RNAcentral